This is a small nucleolar RNA of Boleophthalmus pectinirostris (great blue-spotted mudskipper), 182 nucleotides long. RefSeq annotates it as small nucleolar RNA SNORA81. NCBI's taxonomy places the organism in Eukaryota, Metazoa, Chordata, Actinopteri, Gobiiformes, Gobiidae. The record is from RefSeq and is a predicted model, not a curated record. The transcript has a single exon.
CACUUCUCUUCAAGCACCCUGCUGAAACUGCAGGAGCCAGGCCUCUGAGGCUUGGUUCAUGUAGCCGUGUAAGCAUGGGUACACCGGGGAAGGAAAGCAAAACACAGUAUCUUAAAUGAGGCUAGGAGGGACCUCUUUCUUAAUGUCCAGUGUCCUAGGUCUUGAGGUUCUGUGUUACAACU